GAUGAAUGCUGGCGGCGUGCCUAACACAUGCAAGUCGAGCGGCAGCGCGUCUAGUUUACUAGAUGGCGGCGAGCGGCGGACGGCUGAGUAACGCGUGGGAACGUGCCCCAAAGUGAGGAAUAACUGCCCGAAAGGGUAGCUAAUGCCGCAUAUGGUCUUCGGAUUAAAGUAUUUAUACGCUUUGGGAGCGGCCCGCGUCGGAUUAGGUUGUUGGUGAGGUAAUGGCUCACCAAGCCGACGAUCCGUAGCUGGUCUGAGAGGAUGAUCAGCCAGACUGGAACUGAGACACGGUCCAGACUCCUACGGGAGGCAGCAGUGAGGAAUCUUCCACAAUGGGCGAAAGCCUGAUGGAGCAACGCCGCGUGCAGGAUGAAGGCCUUCGGGUCGUAAACUGCUUUUAUAAGUGAAGAAUAUGACGGUAACUUAUGAAUAAGCACCGGCUAACUACGUGCCAGCCGCCGCCGUAA
This 467-nucleotide ribosomal RNA is filed under the name uncultured bacterium. RNAcentral describes it as "partial 16S ribosomal RNA". It matches the Rfam family "Bacterial small subunit ribosomal RNA", at positions 28 to 523 of the family's 1533-position model. The record is from RNAcentral.